This 72-nucleotide transfer RNA is filed under the name Camelus ferus (Wild Bactrian camel). It matches the Rfam family "tRNA". Rfam says of the family: Transfer RNA (tRNA) molecules are approximately 80 nucleotides in length. Their secondary structure includes four short double-helical elements and three loops (D, anti-codon, and T loops). Further hydrogen bonds mediate the characteristic L-shaped molecular structure. tRNAs have two regions of fundamental functional importance: the anti-codon, which is responsible for specific mRNA codon recognition, and the 3' end, to which the tRNAs corresponding amino acid is attached (by aminoacyl-tRNA synthetases). tRNAs cope with the degeneracy of the genetic code in two manners: having more than one tRNA (with a specific anti-codon) for a particular amino acid; and 'wobble' base-pairing, i.e. permitting non-standard base-pairing at the 3rd anti-codon position. The record is from Rfam by way of RNAcentral. Lineage: Eukaryota; Metazoa; Chordata; Mammalia; Artiodactyla; Camelidae.
GAGGAUAUAGAUCAGUAGUAGAGCAUGUGCUUAACAUGCAUGAGGUCCUGGGUUUUAUCCCCAGUACCUCCA